AUCUUUAUAGUUUAAAUAAAACAUUACAUUGAAAAUGUAAAAAUAAAAAUUUUAAAGAUA
This 60-nucleotide transfer RNA is filed under the name Amblyomma ovale. RNAcentral's name for it is "tRNA-Phe". Lineage: Eukaryota; Metazoa; Arthropoda; Arachnida; Ixodida; Ixodidae. The record is from RNAcentral.